RNAcentral lists this ribosomal RNA (327 nucleotides) under uncultured bacterium. RNAcentral's name for it is "bacterial SSU rRNA". It matches the Rfam family "Bacterial small subunit ribosomal RNA", at positions 28 to 346 of the family's 1533-position model. The record is from RNAcentral.
AAUCAACGCUGGCGGCGUGCCUAACACAUGCAAGUCGAGCGCGAAAGGGGGGUAACUCCCGAGUAGAGCGGCGAACGGGUGAGUAACGCGUGGGUGAUCUACCUCCGAGUGGGGAAUAACCCCGGGAAACUGGGGCUAAUACCGCAUGACAUCCCUGAGUCACAUCGGGGCUCAAAGCCGGGGACCGCAAGGCCUGGCGUUUGGAGAUGAGCCCGCGUCCGAUUAGCUAGUUGGCGGGGUAAGGCCCACCAAGGCUUCGAUCGGUAGCCGGCCUGAGAGGGCGGACGGCCACACUGGGACUGAGACACGGCCCAGACUCCUACGGGA